RNAcentral lists this non-coding RNA (29 nucleotides) under Homo sapiens (human). Lineage: Eukaryota; Metazoa; Chordata; Mammalia; Primates; Hominidae. The record is from RNAcentral.
UAGAGGACACCGUACUCUGUGCAAUAAGC